RNAcentral lists this ribosomal RNA (457 nucleotides) under uncultured bacterium. RNAcentral's name for it is "bacterial SSU rRNA". It matches the Rfam family "Bacterial small subunit ribosomal RNA", at positions 29 to 528 of the family's 1533-position model. The record is from RNAcentral.
AACGAACGCUGGCGGCAGGCCUAACACAUGCAAGUCGAGCGAACCCUUCGGGGUUAGCGGCGGACGGGUUAGUAACGCGUGGGAAUAUACCCUUUGGUACGGAAUAGCCUCGGGAAACUGAGAGUAAUACCGUAUGUGCCCUUCGGGGGAAAGAUUUAUCGCCAAAGGAUUAGCCCGCGUUGGAUUAGGUAGUUGGUGGGGUAAUGGCCUACCAAGCCUACGAUCCAUAGCUGGUUUGAGAGGAUGAUCAGCAACACUGGGACUGAGACACGGCCCAGACUCCUACGGGAGGCAGCAGUGGGGAAUCUUAGACAAUGGGCGCAAGCCUGAUCUAGCCAUGCCGCGUGGACGAUGAAGGCCUUAGGGUUGUAAAGUCCUUUCAGAUGGGAAGAUAAUGACGGUACCAUCAGAAGAAGCCCCGGCUAACUCCGUGCCAGCAGCCGCGGUAAAGUAUCGU